AAUAAGUCUCGGCUAACUACGUGCCAGCAGCCGCGGUAAAACGUAGGAGGCGAGCGUUAUCCGGAUUCAUUGGGCGUAAAGGGCAAGUAGGUGGUUGACAAAGUUGGGCGUGACAUCUCUCGGCUUAACUGAGAGGGAGCGCACGAAACUAGUCGACUAGAGGGCAGGAGAGGGUGGCGGAACUCCUAGUGUAGCGGUGGAAUGCUCAGAUACUAGGAAGAACACCAGUGGCGAAGGCGGCCACCUGGUCUGUCUCUGACGCUGAGAGGCGAAAGCUAGGGGAGCAAACGGGCUUAGAUACCCCGGUAGUCCUAGCCGUAAACGGUGGAUACUAGGUAUUGGGGGCGAUAAAGCCUCAAGUGCCGAAGCAAACGCG
RNAcentral lists this ribosomal RNA (376 nucleotides) under uncultured bacterium. RNAcentral describes it as "bacterial SSU rRNA". It matches the Rfam family "Bacterial small subunit ribosomal RNA", at positions 485 to 859 of the family's 1533-position model. The record is from RNAcentral.